AAAGGUCAACAACAUUGCUGUGGGUUUGGAGUCACAUGCAGACCAGAGCAUGUAAGGAUGGCAGUUAUCUCCCCAAAAGGACAUCAGAGAACCAGGCAAACAGAGAGUAUUCUAUCAAACCUUAAUUCUCCUUGAAGAUGGUGGACAAGCUCUGCGGCAUUAGGAGAGUAUCAUCUGACCAGACUCAAGCAAAAAAGCUGGAUAUCAGGGUAUCUCGACAAGAAAACCAAGAGCAAGCACCUGGCAGAUUCAGCUCACCACCCGCUCUGAAAGACUUGCAUGUCACCAACAUCUGAGGCACACUCCAUUGGGACCAGCCACAGGUAUCUCUGUAUCCACGGAUAUUAGCAUCUGACAUGUGCCUCUACAAGCUCUCAAGGCACAAAUCCAAUCAACUUCUCAAUGCUUCUGCACUUCAAUGCUAUACCUCACGCUGCACCAGCAGCUGUCAUUGUGAUGCUGCAGCAAGGACACUGUGUGCUCAGGGACAUGCACACAGCUCAUUGACAGGACCAGGCUGCGUGUUAAUGGAAUAGCACACAGUCAGUCUGAGCCUACCUGGAUACUCACAGCAUCCCCACUUUGCAUUGCCUUGCCUUGACUUUGUUCCUGCUGUCUUGCUGCACUGUUUAAUGUAGACAGGAAGCUUGGCAUGGUUGUCAGGAGGCCUCAGUCAAGUCAGUGGAAAAAGCCUUUAUUUGGGGCACAUUAAGUCAAAGACAGCCUCCAAAACCAGUCCAGGAGAUUCAUCGUCUGGAUUCUCUCCACAUAUGGGGUGGCACGGUGGCUCAGUGGUUAGCACUGCUGCCUCACAGCGCCAGGG
Chiloscyllium plagiosum (whitespotted bambooshark) is the source of this 823-nucleotide non-coding RNA. Lineage: Eukaryota; Metazoa; Chordata; Chondrichthyes; Orectolobiformes; Hemiscylliidae. The record is from RefSeq and is a predicted model, not a curated record.